GACGAACGCCGGCGGCGUGCGUAUACAUGCAAGUAGAACGCUGAAGGAGGAGCUUGCUUCUCUGGAUGAGUUGCGAACGGGUGAGUAACGCGUAGGUAACCUGCCUGGUAGCGGGGGAUAACUAUUGGAAACGAUAGCUAAUACCGCAUAAUAGUAGAUGUUGCAUGACAUUUACUUAAAAGGUGCAAUUGCAUCACUACCAGAUGGACCUGCGUUGUAUUAGCUAGUUGGUGGGGUAACGGCUCACCAAGGCGACGAUACAUAGCCGACCUGAGAGGGUGAUCGGCCACACUGGGACUGAGACACGGCCCAGACUCCUACGGGAGGCAGCAGUAGGGAAUCUUCGGCAAUGGACGGAAGUCUGACCGAGCAACGCCGCGUGAGUGAAGAAGGUUUUCGGAUCGUAAAGCUCUGUUGUAAGAGAAGAACGAGUGUGAGAGUGGAAAGUUCACACUGUGACGGUAUCUUACCAGAAAGGGACGGCUAACUACGUGCCAGCAGCCGCGGUAAUACGUAGGUCCCGAGCGUUGUCCGGAUUUAUUGGGCGUAAAGCGAGCGCAGGCGGUUAGAUAAGUCUGAAGUUAAAGGCUGUGGCUUAACCAUAGUACGCUUUGGAAACUGUUUAACUUGAGUGCAAGAGGGGAGAGUGGAAUUCCAUGUGUAGCGGUGAAAUGCGUAGAUAUAUGGAGGAACACCGGUGGCGAAAGCGGCUCUCUGGCUUGUAACUGACGCUGAGGCUCGAAAGCGUGGGGAGCAAACAGG
This 762-nucleotide ribosomal RNA is filed under the name uncultured Streptococcus sp. Its description in RNAcentral is "bacterial SSU rRNA". It matches the Rfam family "Bacterial small subunit ribosomal RNA", at positions 28 to 776 of the family's 1533-position model. The record is from RNAcentral. Lineage: Bacteria; Bacillati; Bacillota; Bacilli; Lactobacillales; Streptococcaceae.